Molecule: long non-coding RNA, 547 nt
Organism: Homo sapiens (human)
Lineage: Eukaryota; Metazoa; Chordata; Mammalia; Primates; Hominidae
Gene: FMO6P
Product: flavin containing dimethylaniline monoxygenase 6, pseudogene
Source: Ensembl
UGAGGAUCCUGAUACAUAAACCUUGGCUGAUAAUUUCUACUGAAAAAAAUCGUAAGUAUUAAAGACACUCUUCUGAAGAUGUUCUCUCCAGACUCUGCUACAGGCAAUCAUGAGCAAGAGGGUUGGCAUCAUCGGAGCUGGAGUCAGUGGCUUGGCUGCCAUAUGGUGCUGUCUGGAGGAGGGGCUGGAGCCCACUUGCUUUGAAAGGAGCGAUGAUGUUGGAGGCCUGUGGAAAUUCUCAGACCACACAGAAGAAGGCAGAGCCAGCAUUUACCAGUCUGUAUUCACAAACUCUUCCAAAGAAAUGAUGUGCUUUCCAGACUUCCCUUAUCCGGAUGAUUACCCAAACUAUAUACACCACAGCAAGCUCCAGGAAUAUAUAAAGACAUAUGCUCAAAAGAAGGAUCUUUUAAGAUACAUACAGUUUGAGACCCUGGUUUCCGGUAUAAAGAAAUGUCCCAGCUUCUUAGUCACGGGCCAAUGGGUUGUUGUUACUGAAAAGGAUGGGAAACAGGAAUCUACUAUUUUUGAUGCUGUAAUGAUUUGU